This 550-nucleotide ribosomal RNA is filed under the name uncultured bacterium. RNAcentral describes it as "bacterial SSU rRNA". It matches the Rfam family "Bacterial small subunit ribosomal RNA", at positions 355 to 896 of the family's 1533-position model. The record is from RNAcentral.
UAGGGAAUCUUCCGCAAUGGGCGAAAGCCUGACGGAGCAACGCCGCGUGAGUGAAGAAGGUCUUCGGAUCGUAAAAUUCUGUUAUUAGGGAAGAACAAAUGUGUAAGUAACUAUGUACGUCUUGACGGUACCUAAUCAGAAAGCCACGGCUAACUACGUGCCAGCAGCCGCGGUAAUACGUAGGUGGCAAGCGUUAUCCGGAAUUAUUGGGCGUAAAGCGCGCGUAGGCGGUUUUUUAAGUCUGAUGUGAAAGCCCACGGCUCAACCGUGGAGGGUCAUUGGAAACUGGAAAACUUGAGUGCAGAAGAGGAAAGUGGAAUUCCAUGUGUAGCGGUGAAAUGCGCAGAGAUAUGGAGGAACACCAGUGGCGAAGGCGACUUUCUGGUCUGUAACUGACGCUGAUGUGCGAAAGCGUGGGGAUCGAACAGGAUUAGAUACCCUGGUAGUCCACGCCGUAAACGAUGAGUGCUAAGUGUUAGGGGGUUUCCGCCCCUUAGUGCUGCAGCUAACGCAUUAAGCACUCCGCCUGGGGAGUACGACCGCAAGGUUG